AGAGUUUGAUUAUGGCUCAGAACGUACGCUGGCGGCACGCCUAACACAUGCAAGUCGAACGAAGUAGCAAUACUUAGUGGCAGACGGGUGAGUAACAUGUAGGUAUCUACCCUUUGGCCUGGAAUAACACGAGGAAACUUGUGCUAAUACCGGAUAAGUCUUUACGGAGAAAGCUUUAUGCACCAUUGGAUGAGCCUGCACUUGAUUAGUUUGUUGGUGGGGUAAUGGCCUACCAAGACUGUGAUCAAUAGCUGAUUUGAGAGGAUGAUCAGCCACAUUGGGACUGAGACACGGCCCAAACUCCUACGGGAGGCAGCAGUGGGGAAUCUUGCACAAUGGAGGAAACUCUGAUGCAGCGAUGCCGCGUGAGUGAAGAAGGCCUUUGGGUUGUAAAGCUCUUUCGUCGGGGAAGAAAAUGACUGUACCCGAAUAAGAAGGUCCGGCUAACUUCGUGCCAGCAGCCGCGGUAAUACGAAGGGACCUAGCGUAGUUCGGAAUUACUGGGCUUAAAGAGUUCGUAGGUGGUUGAAAAAGUUAGUGGUGAAAUCCCAGAGCUUAACUCUGGAACUGCCAUUAAAACUUUUCAGCUAGAGUAUGAUAGAGGAAAGCAGAAUUUCUAGUGUAGAGGUGAAAUUCGUAGAUAUUAGAAAGAAUACCAAUUGCGAAGGCAGCUUUCUGGAUCAUUACUGACACUGAGGAACGAAAGCAUGGGUAGCGAAGAGGAUUAGAUACCCUCGUAGUCCAUGCCGUAAACGAUGUGUGUUAGACGUUGGAAAUUUGUUUUCAGUGUCGCAGCGAAAGCGAUAAACACACCGCCUGGGGAGUACGACCGCAAGGUUAAAACUCAAAUGAAUUGACGGGGACCCGCACAAGUAGUGGAGCAUGUGGUUUAAUUCGAAGAUACGCGCAGAGCCUUACCAACACUUGACAUGUUCGUCGCGACUCUAAGAGAUUAGAGUUUUCGGUUCGGCCGGACGAAACACAGGUGCUGCAUGGCUGUCGUCAGCUCGUGUCGUGAGAUGUUGGGUUAAGUCCCGCAACGAGCGCAACCCUCACUUUUAGUUGCCAUCAUUAAGUUGGGCACUCUGAAAGAACUGCCAGUGAUAAGCUGGAGGAAGGUGGGGAUGACGUCAAGUCCUCAUGGCCCUUACGUGUUGGGCUACACACGUGCUACAAUGGUAUCUACAACAGGAAGCAAGACUGCGAGGUCAAGCAAAUCCUUAAAAGAUACCUCAGUUCGGAUUGCACUCUGCAACUCGAGUGCAUGAAGCUGGAAUUACUAGUAAUCGUGGAUCAGCGUGCCACGGUGAAUGCGUUCCCGGGUCUUGUACACACCGCCCGUCACACCAUGGGAGUUGGUUCUACCUUAAGGCAAGGUUUAAAACCCUUGACCACGGUAUAGUCAGCGACUGGGGUGAAGUCGUAACAAGGUAACCAAGGG
This 1441-nucleotide ribosomal RNA is filed under the name uncultured Candidatus Pelagibacter sp. Its description in RNAcentral is "bacterial SSU rRNA". It matches the Rfam family "Bacterial small subunit ribosomal RNA". Lineage: Bacteria; Pseudomonadati; Pseudomonadota; Alphaproteobacteria; Candidatus Pelagibacterales; Candidatus Pelagibacteraceae. The record is from RNAcentral.